CAGUAGCCACGGGAAUACGGAGGGUGCAAGCGUUAAUCGGAAUUACUGGGCGUAAAGCGCACGCAGGCGGUCUGACAAGUCAGAUGUGAAAUCCCCGGGCUUAACCUGGGAACUGCAUUUGAAACUGUCAGGCUGGAGUCUUGUAGAGGGGGGUGGAAUUCCAGGUGUAGCGGUGAAAUGCGUAGAGAUCUGGAGGAAUACCGGUGGCGAAGGCGGCCCCCUGGACAAAGACUGACGCUCAGGUGCGAAAGCGUGGGGAGCAAACAGGAUUAGAUACCCGCGUAGUCCCUGUCUCUUAUAC
Molecule: ribosomal RNA, 301 nt
Filed under: uncultured bacterium
Lineage: Bacteria
Description: partial 16S ribosomal RNA
Rfam family: Bacterial small subunit ribosomal RNA
Source: RNAcentral